UGGUGGUUCAGUGGUAGAAUUCUCGCCUGC
RNAcentral lists this non-coding RNA (30 nucleotides) under Gallus gallus (chicken). Lineage: Eukaryota; Metazoa; Chordata; Aves; Galliformes; Phasianidae. RNAcentral also lists the same sequence under 4 other names. The record is from RNAcentral.